CCUACGGGAGGCAGCAGUGAGGAAUAUUGGUCAAUGGACGAGAGUCUGAACCAGCCAAGUAGCGUGAAGGAUGACUGCCCUAUGGGUUGUAAACUUCUUUUAUCUGGGAAUAAAAUGUUCCACGUGUGGGAUUUUGUAUGUACCAUAUGAAAAAGGAUCGGCUAACUCCGUGUCAGGAGCCGCGGUAAUACGGAGGAUCCGAGCGUUAUCCGGGUGUAUUGGGUUUAAAGGGAGCGUAGGUGGAUUGUUAAGUCAGUGGGGAAAGUUUGCGGCUCAACCGUAAGAUUGCAGUUGAAACUGGCAGUCUCGAGUACAGUAGAGGUGUGCGGAAUGCGUGGUGUAGCGGUGAAAUGCUUAGAUAUCACGAAGAACUCAGAUUGCGAAGGCAGCUCACUGGACUGCAACUGACACUGAGGCUCGAAAGUGUGGGUAUCAAACAGGAUUAGAUACCCCUGUAGUC
Molecule: ribosomal RNA, 460 nt
Filed under: uncultured bacterium
Lineage: Bacteria
Description: partial 16S ribosomal RNA
Rfam family: Bacterial small subunit ribosomal RNA
Source: RNAcentral